GAUGAAGAACGUAGCGAAAUGCGAUAACUAAUGUGAAUUGCAGAAUUCCGUGAAUCAUCGAGUCUUUGAACGCACAUUGCGCCCCCUGGUAUUCCGGGGGGCAUGCCUGUCCGAGCGUCAUUGCUGCCCAUCAAGCACGGCUUGUUUGUUGGGUCCUCGUCCCCCCCGGGGGACGUGCCCGAAAGGCAGCGGCGGCACCGCGUCCGGUCCUCGAGCGUAUGGGGCUUUGUCACCAGCUCUGCAGGCCCGGCCGGCGCUGGCCGACGCGAAAGCAACCAUUUUUUCUCCAGGUUGACCUCGGAUCAGGUAGGGAUACCCGCUGAACUUAAGCAUAUCAAUAAGCGGAGGA
This 349-nucleotide unclassified non-coding RNA is filed under the name soil metagenome. RNAcentral's name for it is "partial contains 5.8S ribosomal RNA, internal transcribed spacer 2, and large subunit ribosomal RNA". The stretch from base 1 to 120 matches the Rfam family "5.8S ribosomal RNA", at positions 35 to 154 of the family's 154-position model. The record is from RNAcentral.